This 484-nucleotide ribosomal RNA is filed under the name uncultured bacterium. Its description in RNAcentral is "partial 16S ribosomal RNA". It matches the Rfam family "Bacterial small subunit ribosomal RNA", at positions 30 to 507 of the family's 1533-position model. The record is from RNAcentral.
AUUGAACGCUGGCGGCAGGCCUAACACAUGCAAGUCGAGCGGAUGAAGGGAGCUUGCUCCUGGAUUCAGCGGCGGACGGGUGAGUAAUGCCUAGGAAUCUGCCUGGUAGUGGGGGAUAACGUCCGGAAACGGGCGCUAAUACCGCAUACGUCCUUAGGGAGAAAGUUGGGGAUCUUCGGACCUCACGCUAUCAGAUGAGCCUAGGUCGGAUUAGCUAGUUGGUGGGGUAAAGGCCUACCAAGGCGACGAUCCGUAACUGGUCUGAGAGGAUGAUCAGUCACACUGGAACUGAGACACGGUCCAGACCCCUACGGGAGGCAGCAGUGGGGAAUAUUGGACAAAGGGCGAAAGCCUGAUCCAGCCAUGCCGCGUGUGUGAAGAAGGUCUUCGGAUUGUAAAGCACUUUAAGUUGGGAGGAAGGGCAGUAAGUUAAUACCUUGCUGUUUUGACGUUAACAACAGAAUAAGCACCGGCUAACUUCGUG